CUGAAUGGGGAAACCCACCACUUUUUGUGGUACUUCAAACUGAAUUCAUAGGUUUGAAGAGCUAACCCGGAGAACUGAAACAUCUAAGUAACCGGAGGAAAAGAAAUCAAUUGAGAUUCCGUUAGUAGUGGCGAGCGAACGCGGAACAGGCCAGUAACAAUAUUGAGAUAAUCUAAGUAGUUUGGAAAAGCUAACCAUAGAGGGUGAUAGUCCCCUAGGAGUAACGCUUAGUAUUGUUCUUGAGUAGAGCGGGACACGAGAAAUCUUGUUUGAAUAUAGGGGGACC
Molecule: ribosomal RNA, 286 nt
Filed under: uncultured bacterium
Lineage: Bacteria
Description: partial 23S ribosomal RNA
Rfam family: Bacterial large subunit ribosomal RNA
Source: RNAcentral